AAUAUUGGACAAUGGGGGCAACCCUGAUCCAGCCAUGCCGCGUGUGUGAAGAAGGUCUUCGGAUUGUAAAGCACUCUAAGUUGGGAGGAAGAGCUUUAGGCUAAUACCCUGAAGUUUUGACGUUACCAACAUAAUAAGCACCGGCUAACUAUGUGCCAGCCGACGCGGUAAUACAGAGGGUGCAAGCGUUAAUCGGUAUUACGGGGCGUAAAGCGCGCGUAGGGGGUUCAGUAAGAUGGGUGUGAAAUCCCCGGGCUUAACCUGGGAAGUGCUUUCAUAACUGCUGAGCGAGAGUACGGUAGAGAGUAGUGGAAUUCCGGGGUAGCGGUGAAAUGCGUAGAAAUAGGAAGGAACACCAGUGGCGAAGGCGACUACCUGGACUGAUACUGACACUGAGGUGCGAAAGCGUGGGGAGCAAACAG
RNAcentral lists this ribosomal RNA (422 nucleotides) under uncultured bacterium. RNAcentral describes it as "partial 16S ribosomal RNA". It matches the Rfam family "Bacterial small subunit ribosomal RNA", at positions 360 to 775 of the family's 1533-position model. The record is from RNAcentral.